AAUAGAUACCCAGGUAGUCCACGCCGUAAACGAUGAGUGCUAAGUGUUAGGGGGUUUCCGCCCCUUAGUGCUGCAGCUAACGCAUUAAGCACUCCGCCUGGGGAGUACGGUCGCAAGACUGAAACUCAAAGAAAUUGACGGGGGCCCGCACAAGCGGUGGAGCAUGUGGUUUAAUUCGAAGCAACGCGAAGAACCUUACCAGGUCUUGACAUCCCGUUGACCACUAUGGAGACAUGGUUUUCCCUUCGGGGACAACGGUGACAGGUGGUGCAUGGUUGUCGUCAGCUCGUGUCGUGAGAUGUUGGGUUAAGUCCCGCAACGAGCGCAACCCUUGUUCUUAGUUGCCAUCAUUUAGUUGGGCACUCUAAGGAGACUGCCGGUGACAAACCGGAGGAAGGUGGGGAUGACGUCAAAUCAUCAUGCCCCUUAUGACCUGGGCUACACACGUGCUACAAUGGACGGUACAAACGGUUGCCAACCCGCGAGGGGGAGCUAAUCCGAUAAAACCGUUCUCAGUUCGGAUUGUAGGCUGCAACUCGCCUACAUGAAGCC
This 552-nucleotide ribosomal RNA is filed under the name uncultured bacterium. RNAcentral describes it as "bacterial SSU rRNA". It matches the Rfam family "Bacterial small subunit ribosomal RNA", at positions 777 to 1327 of the family's 1533-position model. The record is from RNAcentral.